UUUUUCUUUUUCCUUCUAAUUUUCCCAGAAUCAAACCCACCUACAUCUCUAGCAUCCCCUAUCAGAACAAAUCGAUUUUCUUCCUUUUCAUCUGAAAAAGCAGAGCAAUUUAUCUCUCCUUGGGUUUCUUAAGUUUUGGACUUUUUAGAAGAUCCAGGUUCAUCUACUUCAAUAGCGGAGAUGUAAUCAUCAGAUUCAGAACUAGAAUUAGACUCAUUUGCUGGGAUUGGUUUCUUCUGGCUGGACUGAAGUUUUUCAUUUAAAGCUUUCCUCAGAGAACCAGCAGCUACAGCUUUUCUUGCUAGCAUUUUCUGGCACCGGAAUCUAGGUUUUGGGGUUUCGACCGGUGGUGUGGAAGAUGAGGUGUUGGUGAAGCAGGUGGUGGAGUACCAGGGUUGUCUUGGGGAUUUGUCAUGGCGAAAGAUUUCUGAAAAACCUAAGAAGAUUUUGAUUGUGUGAAGAAUGUUGGAGUGUUUCAGAAACGAGAGAGAGAGAGAGAGAGAG
RNAcentral lists this long non-coding RNA (504 nucleotides) under Nicotiana benthamiana. RNAcentral describes it as "long non-coding RNA (NBEN_LNC027648)". Lineage: Eukaryota; Viridiplantae; Streptophyta; Magnoliopsida; Solanales; Solanaceae. The record is from RNAcentral.